RNA transcript from Gorilla gorilla gorilla (western lowland gorilla), 2371 nucleotides. It is a transcript of the gene named coiled-coil domain-containing protein 138-like, with no coding region annotated. The transcript is spliced from 13 exons. NCBI's taxonomy places the organism in Eukaryota, Metazoa, Chordata, Mammalia, Primates, Hominidae. The record is from RefSeq and is a predicted model, not a curated record.
GGCACGUCGUGACGCACUGCGGCGCGACGGCCGCGGGUUUGAUGAACGCGGUUCCCGGGGAGAUCGGUGCGGUUGCUGUGUGCUAUGGAGCCGAGGGUCGUCAAGCCACCGGGGCAGGAUUUAGUAGUGGAGAGUCUCAAAAGCCGCUACGGACUCGGGGGCAGCUGCCCCGACGAGGUGAAGCCGCCGCCUAAGUAUGAUUUUUCAAAUUUUUAUCAGUCUAAGAGAAGAACUCUAACCUCCACAGGUGAUUUGGAUGUCUACUCUGGAGAUAAAGUUGGUUCAUCGUUAAAAUAUUCUGAUGAAAGCAAGCAUUGUAGAACACCAUUGGGCAGCUUAUUCAAGCACGUAAAUGUGAAUUGCCUAGAUGAUGAACUGGAUUCUUUCCAUGAUUUGAAGAAACAGGAAACAGAAGAAGAGUUAAUUGAAAAUGAUUAUAGAGUUAGUACCUCGAAAAUAACCAAGCAGUCUUUUAAAGAAAUAGAAAAAGUUGCCUUGCCAACUAAUACGACCUCAUCGAGACCUCGGACUGAGUGUUGUAGUGAUGCAGGUGACUCUCCUUUGAAACCUGUCAGCUGUCCAAAAUCUAAAGCAUCAGACAAGCGGAGUUUACUUCCACAUCAGAUCAGUCAGAUACAUGACGAAUUAUUUCAGAUACAUCUGAAAUUGCAGUGUGAAACUGCAGCACAACAGAAAUUUGCUGAAGAACUUCAAAAGCGAGAACGUUUUUUACUUGAAAGAGAACAACUGCUUUUCAGACAUGAAAAUGCCUUGAGUAAAAUUAAAGGUGUUGAAGAAGAGGUUCUUAAAAGAUUUCAAAUUAUAAAAGAGCAGCAUGAUGCAGAAGUUGAACACUUAACUGAAGUUCUUAAGGAAAAGAAUAAAGAAACCAAGAGACUGAGGUCCUCUUUUGAUGCAUUGAAAGAAUUGAAUGAUACCUUAAAAAAACAGUUAAAUGAAGCAAGUGAAGAAAACAGGAAGAUAGACAUUCAGGCUAAAAGAGUUCAAGCUCGUUUAGAUAAUUUACAGAGGAAGUACGAGUUUAUGACAAUACAGAGAUUGAAAGGAAGUUCCCAUGCUGUUCAUGAAAUGAAAAGUUUAAAACAAGAAAAAGCACCAGUUUCAAAAACUUACAAGGUACCACUUAAUGGGCAAGUUUAUGAACUUUUAACUGUCUUCAUGGACUGGAUUUCGGAUCAUCAUCUUAGCAAAGUGAAACAUGAAGAAUCUGGAAUGGAUGAGCCUCCAUUAUGGCAUGCUGAAUUUAGCAAAGAAGAAUUGGUUCAGAAGCUCAGUUCCACCACAGAAAGUGCAGAUCACUUAAACGGCCUGCUUCGGGAAACAGAGGCAACCAAUGCAGUCCUUAUGAAGCAAAUUAAGCUGGACGGUACUGCUGCCAUCUCAGCUCACUGCAACCUCCCUGCCUGAUUCUCCUGCCUCAGCCUGCCGAGUGCCUGCGAUUGCAGGCGCGCACCGCCCCGCCUGACUGGUUUUCGUAUUUUUUUGGUGGAGACGGGGUUUCGCUGUGUUGGCCGGGCUGGUCUCCAGCUCCUAACCGCGAGUGAUCAGCCAGCCUCGGCCUCCCGAGGUGCCGGGAUUGCAGACAGAGUCUGGUUAACUCAGCGCUCAAUGGUGCCCAGGCUGGAGUGCAGUGGCGUGAUCUUGGCCCACUACAACCACCUCCCAGCCGCCUGCCUUGGCCUCCCAAAGUGCCGAGAUUGCAGCCUCUGCCCGGCUGCCGCCCCGUCUGGGAAGUGAGGAGCGUCUCCGCCUGGCCGCCCAUCGUCCGGGAUGUGAGGAGCCCCUCUGCCUGGCUGCCCAGUCUGGAAAGUGAGGAGCGUCUCUGCCCGGCCGCCAUCCCAUCUAGGAAACAAGGAGCGCCUCUUCCCAGCCGCCAUCACAUCUGGGAAGUGAGGAGCCUCUCUGCCCGGCCGCCCAUCGUCUGAGAUGUGGGGAGCACCUCUGCCCUGCCGCCCAGUCCGGGAUGUGAGGAGCGUCUCUGCCCGGCCGCCCCGUCUGAGAAGUGAGGAGACCCGCUGCCUGGCAACCGCCCCGCCCGAGAAGUGAGGAGCCCCUCCGCCCGGCAGCCACCCCGCCCGAGAAGUGAGGAGCCCCUCCGCCCAGCAGCCACCCCGUCUGGGAAGUGAGGAGCGUCUCCGCCCGGCAGCCACCUCGUCCGGGAGGGAGGUGGAGGGAUCAGCCCCCCGCCCGGCCAGCCACCCUGUCCGGGAGCUUCUCAAAAGUGAAAUAAGAAGAUUGGAAAGGAAUCAAGAGCGAGAGGAGUCUGCAGCUAACGUGGAACACUUGAAGAACGUCUUGCUGCAGUUCAUUUUCUUGAAGCCAGGUAGUGAAAGAGAGAGACUUCUUCCUG